UGGGGAAUAUUGGACAAUGGGCGGAAGCCUGAUCCAGCAACGCCGCGUGAGGGAUGACGGCCUUCGGGUUGUAAACCUCUUUCAGCGGGGACGAAGCGCAAGUGACGGUACCCGCAGAAGAAGCACCGGCCAACUACGUGCCAGCAGCCGCGGUAAUACGUAGGGUGCGAGCGUUGUCCGGAAUUAUUGGGCGUAAAGGGCUCGUAGGCGGUUUGUCGCGUCGGGAGUGAAAACCAUGGGCUUAACUCAUGGCUUGCUUCCGAUACGGGCAGACUAGAGGUAUGCAGGGGAGAACGGAAUUCCUGGUGUAGCGGUGAAAUGCGCAGAUAUCAGGAGGAACACCGGUGGCGAAGGCGGUUCUCUGGGCAUUACCUGACGCUGAGGAGCGAAAGUGUGGGGAGCGAACA
This 407-nucleotide ribosomal RNA is filed under the name uncultured Nocardioides sp. RNAcentral's name for it is "bacterial SSU rRNA". It matches the Rfam family "Bacterial small subunit ribosomal RNA", at positions 355 to 774 of the family's 1533-position model. The record is from RNAcentral. Lineage: Bacteria; Bacillati; Actinomycetota; Actinomycetes; Propionibacteriales; Nocardioidaceae.